This 440-nucleotide ribosomal RNA is filed under the name uncultured bacterium. Its description in RNAcentral is "partial 16S ribosomal RNA". It matches the Rfam family "Bacterial small subunit ribosomal RNA", at positions 339 to 795 of the family's 1533-position model. The record is from RNAcentral.
CUACGGGUCGCUGCAGUGGGGAAUAUUGGGCAAUGGGCGCAAGCCUGACCCAGCAACGCCGCGUGAGGGAAGAAGGUUUUCGGAUUGUAAACCUCUGUCCUUGGGGACGAAGAAGUGACGGUACCCAAGGAGGAAGCUCCGGCUAACUACGUGCCAGCAGCCGCGGUAAUACGUAGGGAGCAAGCGUUGUCCGGAAUUACUGGGCGUAAAGGGUGCGUAGGCGGCAUAUUAAGUCAGGUGUGAAAUACUCGGGCUCAACCCGGGGGCUGCAUUUGCAACUGAUAUGUUGAGUGUGAGAGAGGAAAGUGGAAUUACUAGCGUAGCGGUGGAAUGCGUAGAUAUUAGGAGGAACACCAGUGGCGAAGGCGACUUUCUGGCUCAUAACUGACGCUGAGGCACGAAAGCGUGGGGAGCAAACAGGAUUAGAUACCCCCGUAGUC